This 348-nucleotide unclassified non-coding RNA is filed under the name Hevea brasiliensis (rubber tree). Lineage: Eukaryota; Viridiplantae; Streptophyta; Magnoliopsida; Malpighiales; Euphorbiaceae. The record is from RNAcentral.
AUUCAUUCUCAUACCAGCCGCCCUAGGCAAGGGGAUUAAAUCAUCCAACAAACAUGGGGUUUGAAUUCGAGGGAUGAUUCUAAAUCUGAACGAAUUAUAUCAUUUAAGACGUCAAAAUUGACGAAUGACAUGUCUAUAAAGAUAAAAAUCAAAGCAAGGCUUAGGGUUUGACGAUACAAGUAGGCAUAAGACAUUACAUUAAAUCAAGCCCUUUUCGCAUAGUCAUCGUCGUUAUCCUCGUCUCCAUACUUUCCUCCUCCCAAAAAAUCAUCACCUCCCUGGGAUGCAUUGCUGCGAUUAUAACCUCCACCACUAUAACCACCACCGCCACCAUAACCACUACCACCA